UGUCUUUAUAUAGUCUAUGAUGUCUUCAUUCCACAAAAAAUCCACACGAUUAAACAUGAAAUUAAUGUACCCAGCUAUGAGGCUACCGCAUUCUUUAACCCAAGAACAAGAAAAUACAUGAAUCAGAGAACUGCAAUUACCUACUUGCUGGUCUAUUUCCUCAUUAGAGUGAAUUUUUUGAGGACUAAAUUGCAUUUCUGUAUCUCUAAUGCUUACCCCCUAUCUCACUGGCUCUGUGUGUUUGAGUGCAUGCGCUGAAUGUUUAUAUCACUUAAUUUCUGUUCGGAACACGCUGUCUCAGCACCAGUAGAUCUGGCCUUAGAGCUAAGGAAAGAAGGCCUUUCUAACCCAAAAGCGGUACUAAUCCUGUACAGACUCCAAUAUCUCCCGGGCUGGGUACACGCAGGUUCACACCCAGGUGUGAGCAAGAUUGCCAAACUAUACCUAUAAGGCGUUUGGAGGAGAGAGUCCAAAAGUCACGAGACCCGGCUAAUUUAGCUACUAUUUCACAACAACCCUGAUCGUGGUCGGACUUGUUUCUAGGAAGAUGCGAUGGGCUGGAACUUCCUUCAAGAACAGAUUGCAAAAGGCAGCCGACCAGGGCGUGGCAGGUCACUGCCAAGGGAAGCAGCAGCGGAAACCGUCGCCUCCGGCUUAGGCUGAGGAGCGGGAACCCCAUUCUCUGAGUUAUGUUUCUGCCUAAACACGCAGAACAAAAGAGUUCGUGGCUGCAAGGGUGGUGCGCGGUAGUAUUUCUUGCUAAUAAAAGGUCCCCACAGGGACAUUUUUGCUAUGACUGCAGGCGUGGCCAGUCUCCCUGCACAGCUUCCGGGAAGAGGUGGGGAUAGGAGGCUCGUCCCGGGGAAGGUCACGCUCGGGGUCCCCAGACCAGGUCUCCGCACGCCCCUGCCCCGUCGCCUCCCGGGAGCGGCUGCAGUCCCCGUUGGCUGCAGACGGGCAGACACCCGAAGUGUCCGCGCCGGCAGCCGGACCGCACGCGAGGAAGAGCGAACCGCGCUCCCGGGCGUGGCCGAAGCGCUUCCUGUGCCAGGUUUCCGGCUCCGGGUCCCGGGAGGAGGAUCGCGGGCCAGAGGCGGAGCCGCCGCCCUGCCGCGACUUUCAGACUCCGACCAUGGCCUCGCGCUGGUGGCGGUGGCGACGCGGCUGCUCCUGGAGGCCGGCGGCGCGGAGCUCCGGGCCCAGCUCCCCAGGCCGUGCGGGACCGUCGGGGCCGAGCGCCGCUGCCGACGUCCGCGCGCAGGUUCAUAGGCGGAAGGGACUUGACUUGUCUCAGAUACCCUAUAUUAAUCUUGUGAAGCAUUUAACAUCUGCCUGUCCAAAUGUAUGUCGUAUAUCACGGUUUCAUCACACAACCCCAGACAGUAAAACACACAGUGGUGAAAAAUACACCGAUCCUUUCAAACUCGGUUGGAGAGACUUGAAAGGUCUGUAUGAGGACAUUAGAAAGGAACUGCUUAUAUCAACAUCAGAACUUAAGGAAAUGUCUGAGUACUACUUUGAUGGGAAAGGGAAAGCCUUUCGACCAAUUAUUGUGGCGCUAAUGGCCCGAGCAUGCAAUAUUCAUCAUAACAACUCCCGACAUGUGCAAGCCAGCCAGCGCACCAUAGCCUUAAUUGCAGAAAUGAUCCACACUGCUAGUCUGGUUCACGAUGACGUUAUUGACGAUGCAAGUUCUCGAAGAGGAAAACACACAGUUAAUAAGAUCUGGGGUGAAAAGAAGGCUGUUCUUGCUGGAGAUUUAAUUCUUUCUGCAGCAUCUAUAGCUCUGGCACGAAUUGGAAAUACAACUGUUAUAUCUAUUUUAACCCAAGUUAUUGAAGAUUUGGUGCGUGGUGAAUUUCUUCAGCUCGGGUCAAAAGAAAAUGAGAAUGAAAGAUUUGCACACUACCUUGAGAAGACGUUCAAGAAGACCGCCAGCCUGAUAGCCAACAGUUGUAAAGCAGUAUGUCUCUGUUCUAGGAUGUCCCGACCCAGUGGUGCAUGAGAUCGCCUAUCAGUACGGAAAAAAUGUAGGAAUAGCUUUUCAGCUUAUAGAUGAUGUAUUGGACUUCACCUCAUGUUCUGACCAGAUGGGCAAACCAACAUCAGCUGAUCUGAAGCUCGGGUUAGCCACUGGUCCUGUCCUGUUUGCCUGUCAGCAGGUUCACUGCCAGGGAAAAACUGGCAACGCUGUAAGCACUGACAUGGCCAAAAUCAAACACAUCUUACCUCUUCCGUGGAGCCAUAGACUGUUAGAGCUCAAGGGCUUCCAGUCAUGAAGAUGAGAAGCCUAAGACCCCAGGGGCUAAGGAAGUCACUCGGCUGUGGCAGCUGGUAGCCAAACCAAGACUAGAGCUCGGAUCUAGGAAGUGAAGUGAUUUGGUGUCCUGGCUUUUGUAUUCUGUUAAUGUUCCCAGAAAUGAAUGCUAUGAUCAUGCGACGGUUCAGUUUGCCGGGAGAUGUAGACAGAGCUCGACAGUAUGUAUUACAGAGUGAUGGUGUGCAACAAACAACCUACCUCGCCCAGCAGUACUGCCAUGAAGCAAUAAGAGAGAUCAGUAAACUUCGACCAUCCCCAGAAAGAGAUGCCCUCAUUCAGCUUUCAGAAAUUGUACUCACAAGAGAUAAAUGACAACUCUUUCUGUUCUUUCUGGCAGCUAUCUUACCAGACUGUGCCUAAAGAAUUUUGUGGAAUACACUUUGUUUGCUUCAUGUGCAAAUAACCAAAAAUCAUUUUAAAAGAUAUCAAACUUAUUGAUGGGCAAUUUAUUUUUUUUAUUGCAAAAGUUUUUUCAGAAAACUUUUUAAAUGUAAUUAAUAAACCACCUGAAUCUGUCAUUCUAGUCCUAUAAAUUAUAAUCAAGGUAUCUUGAUGGUUAUAUGUGGUAUUGUUUACACUGUUAAUAUCCACAUGUAAGGCCAUUACACAAAUAAAUAACCAAUGUUAAAAUUCAAA
RNA transcript from Pan troglodytes (chimpanzee), 2956 nucleotides. It is a transcript of the gene named decaprenyl diphosphate synthase subunit 1, with no coding region annotated. The transcript is spliced from 13 exons. The record is from RefSeq and is a predicted model, not a curated record. NCBI's taxonomy places the organism in Eukaryota, Metazoa, Chordata, Mammalia, Primates, Hominidae.